UCUGUAUGCCUUUUACUAUCAUUUGUUCCUCUGUGGAAACAUAUUUCCUCAGAGAUAUUAACCUCAAUUUGUUUUGUUUUUUUUGUCACAGGUUCUCCCGUUUGAAUAUCCUCUUCCAAAUGUUCCACAGCAACCUAUGAAUAUUCCAUCAUUUGAUGCCAAUCCUCUCCCAUCCCAGGAUCCCCUGCAACCUCUGCAGCAGGACCAGCCCACACAGAUGAGCCAGAUGCCAGCGAAGGUAUGAAGUGGAUGAAAGGCAGGAAAAGGAGGCGAGACUACAAAACAAAUGACCUUAAAUGAUCAGGACUGUUUCAUAUGUGCUUACUAAAAUUUAAAUAAAAUAACCACUUUUUAUUAAGAAUGCUGUUGCAAUAGUAAACUACAUUACAACAUGGUCAUGUGCAUAGAAGAAAACCAUCUACUUCACUUUAUAGUCAUCAUAGAUUAACAAUAACCUGUUGUAGACCUGUAAAACACUUCAGCAGCUGUCUUCUGUCAACUAUCAACUACAGUUAGUUUUCAGUGUUACUGUGGAAAUACAGCACUUUGUAAUGCUGCAUUUUCACUGUAUCUAAGAAUUGCUGUGUAUUGUUAUUAAUUAGUUAAAUAAAUUCUGACUUUUCUUUAAAUGUCAUUUUCUUUUAAGAAAUAAAGCCUACAUUUUCAAGCAA
This is a long non-coding RNA of Lates calcarifer (barramundi perch), 671 nucleotides long. RefSeq lists it as uncharacterized. Lineage: Eukaryota; Metazoa; Chordata; Actinopteri; Centropomidae. The record is from RefSeq and is a predicted model, not a curated record. The transcript has 3 exons.